Long non-coding RNA from Amblyraja radiata (thorny skate), 249 nucleotides. RefSeq lists it as uncharacterized. The transcript is spliced from 4 exons. Lineage: Eukaryota; Metazoa; Chordata; Chondrichthyes; Rajiformes; Rajidae. The record is from RefSeq and is a predicted model, not a curated record.
UGUUACCUAACCCGCUGAGUUACUCCAGUUCUUUGUGUUCUACAAAAUAAUCCAGUAUGUCUUUUUAACCAUUUUAUCUACUUUUCCUGCUACAUUUAAAGAAUUGUGAAUAUAUAAUUGAAGGCUUCUCCAUUCUGCCUCCCCACUUAAUAUUCCCCGAUGUAUUGAAGACGCCUCUUGUUGAACCUAUCCAAAUGCAUUACCUCAUACUUCUCUGUUCAACUGUCCAAACUUUUUAAAUGCUUGUGU